GUUUAUGCUGUUAAAAUGGGGGUGAGGAUCAGCCCACUGAGGCUGCUGUUCAUCACUGUGCUGUGAACUCCAGCUCUGUAGCUCCUGCAUGGCAAGAGAAUUGUGGCUGAACUUGGCCUUCACUGACCAGAGGAACCAGAAACUGCUGUUCCUGCCAAAUCACUGAAUCAUUUAAGUUGGUAACAACCUCUAAUAUUUGAGUCCAACCUUUGGCUGAUCACCGCCUUGUCAACCAGACCAUGGCACCAAGGACAAAAUGACAUGGCAGUGCCAGCAGGGCCUGAAAGGAGGAUGAUUUUUAGGAAACCUGGGGUUGAUGGCAUUUGGCUGAACUCUGCAGGCUCUGCAGACAUUGUGCAGAAGUAACGGGACUACUGCUGGCUUGGUGUGGGCAACCAAGGGCUGGUCUGUGCAGCCCUGCCUGCCUGAAUGGCCUCUGCCAUGGCCUGAAGGGAAAGGCUGAGAGCUGCCUGUCCUGUGCUGCUUGACUUGGAUGCUGCUGUCCUCUUGCUUCAGCUGAUGGAAAGCGCUUGAGGCAGAUCUGCCUUGGCUGUGGCUGAAUCACACAACUUUUCUGAGCUAAUCUGCUGGUACACUUAUGGCUUCAGAGAGCCUGGUGCAGGUUCCUCAUCCAGCCAACAACCACAACCCAUGGCACACUGGAUGGCUUCAAGAUACCUUGAAUGUGGGAAAAUGGACGAGUGAGCGAAAUGAUGGAGAGGUGGCUGAAAUACCAAACACAGCUGUGAGAAUGAAAUGAAAUCCAUCUGACACAAGAAGAUGUACCACCUCUGAUCACUUCCUUCUUCCCUUCCUUUGUUGGACCAUCAUCCAGCUGAUGCACCUGCAGCAGAGUGAGCAGGAAAGGAAGUGAAUUUGCACGCCAGGACAGCCUUGGAACUGGGACAGGACAAGGAGCUUUUUGCCCUUAACACUCCUGACUUUGCUGCUGUGGUUCCAGCUUUUCCCCAGGGAAGGAAGGGUCCUGGUGACCUGGCAGGGGACAUGGAGCUGCUGGCUGUCACAGCCCCAGAGGAAGCAGGGAAGGAUGCAACAGCAUCACAACCCGAGGUGGAAGGAGCAGAAGAAGCAGCUGCAAUGCCAGAGGCAGAGAGCCUAGAAGGGAAGGUUAUCACUUCUGAAGGAGCAGCAGCACCUGUGGUGGGAGCAUCAGAAAACCCAGCAGCAGAAAGAGUGGCUGAAGCGUUUGCCAGGGCAGCAGAGAGAAUUGCAGGAGCAGAAGUAGCCAAGGUGCUGCAGUCAGCAAUAGCUGAGCUCAAAGGAAAGAGGAAGGACGUGUGGAUAAAGCCAAGGAACGCCACUCAGCAGGAAGAGGAUUGGAUGAAAGAGGGAGAGGUGAAAUGAAAUGGAGAGGUGAUGUUCUGGGUCAUACCUCCUAAUGGCUUGUACCAUCACUCCUGGAAUGCAAUAGGGCUGCCAAUCACAUCUCUUUUGUGACU
Molecule: long non-coding RNA, 1460 nt
Organism: Zonotrichia leucophrys gambelii
Lineage: Eukaryota; Metazoa; Chordata; Aves; Passeriformes; Passerellidae
Exons: 8
Source: RefSeq, a predicted model, not a curated record